RNAcentral lists this ribosomal RNA (253 nucleotides) under uncultured bacterium. Its description in RNAcentral is "partial 16S ribosomal RNA". It matches the Rfam family "Bacterial small subunit ribosomal RNA", at positions 524 to 776 of the family's 1533-position model. The record is from RNAcentral.
UACGUAGGUGGCAAGCGUUGUCCGGAUUUACUGGGCGUAAAGCGCCCGCAGGCGGCUUGUUAAGUUCAAGGUGAAAUCUCCCGGCUUAACUGGGAGGGUGCCUCGAAAACUGGCAGGCUUGAGGUGAGGAGAGGGAUGCGGAAUUCCAGGUGUAGCGGUGAAAUGCGUAGAUAUCAGGAGGAACACCGGUGGCGAAGGCGGGUCUCUGGGCCGAUACUGACGCUGAGGAGCGAAAGCGUGGGGAGCGAACAGG